GCCGAGGUGGCACAACCUGGUACUGCGCUGGAUUGCUAGAUUCAGUGCCCGCAAGGGCUCGGGAGUUCAAAUCUCCCCCUCGGCG
Molecule: transfer RNA, 85 nt
Filed under: Candidatus Woesearchaeota archaeon
Lineage: Archaea; Nanobdellati; Candidatus Woesearchaeota
Description: tRNA-Ser
Rfam family: tRNA
About the family: Transfer RNA (tRNA) molecules are approximately 80 nucleotides in length.
Source: RNAcentral